RNAcentral lists this ribosomal RNA (526 nucleotides) under uncultured bacterium. Its description in RNAcentral is "bacterial SSU rRNA". It matches the Rfam family "Bacterial small subunit ribosomal RNA", at positions 776 to 1301 of the family's 1533-position model. The record is from RNAcentral.
GAAUAGAUACCCUGAUAGUCCACGCCGUAAACGAUGAGUGCUAAGUGUUAGAGGGUUUCCGCCCUUUAGUGCUGAAGUUAACGCAUUAAGCACUCCGCCGUGGGGAGUACGGCCGCAAGGCUGAAACUCAAAGGAAUUGACGGGGGCCCGCACAAGCGGUGGAGCAUGUGGUUUAAUUCGAAGCAACGCGAAGAACCUUACCAGGUCUUGACAUCCUCUGACAACCCUAGAGAUAGGGCUUCUCCUUCGGGAGCAGAGUGACAGGUGGUGCAUGGUUGUCGUCAGCUCGUGUCGUGAGAUGUUGGGUUAAGUCCCGCAACGAGCGCAACCCUUAAUCUUAGUUGCCAUCAUUCAGUUGGGCACUCUAAGGUGACUGCCGGUGACAAACCGGAGGAAGGUGGGGGAUGACGUCAAAUCAUCAUGCCCCUUAUGACCUGGGCUACACACGUGCUACAAUGGACGGUACAAAGAGCUGCAAGACCGCGAGGUGAGCUAAUCUCAUAAAACCGUUCUCAGUUCGGAUUGU